GUGAAAUGCAAAUCUCCACGGUCCCUAUGC
RNAcentral lists this non-coding RNA (30 nucleotides) under Homo sapiens (human). Lineage: Eukaryota; Metazoa; Chordata; Mammalia; Primates; Hominidae. The record is from RNAcentral.